Molecule: ribosomal RNA, 942 nt
Filed under: uncultured bacterium
Lineage: Bacteria
Description: bacterial SSU rRNA
Rfam family: Bacterial small subunit ribosomal RNA
Source: RNAcentral
AUGCAAGUCGAACGAGAGAGAGGGAGCUUGCUUCCUCGAUCGAGUGGCGAACGGGUGAGUAACGCGUGAGGAACCUGCCUCAAAGAGGGGGACAACAGUUGGAAACGACUGCUAAUACCGCAUAAGCCCACGACCCGGCAUCGGGAAGAGGGAAAAGGAGCAAUCCGCUUUGAGAUGGCCUCGCGUCCGAUUAGCUAGUUGGUGAGGUAACGGCCCACCAAGGCGACGAUCGGUAGCCGGACUGAGAGGUUGAACGGCCACAUUGGGACUGAGACACGGCCCAGACUCCUACGGGAGGCAGCAGUGGGGAAUAUUGCACAAUGGGGGAAACCCUGAUGCAGCGACGCCGCGUGGAGGAAGAAGGUCUUCGGAUUGUAAACUCCUGUUGUUGAGGAAGAUAAUGACGGUACUCAACAAGGAAGUGACGGCUAACUACGUGCCAGCAGCCGCGGUAAAACGUAGGUCACAAGCGUUGUCCGGAAUUACUGGGUGUAAAGGGAGCGCAGGCGGGCGAUCAAGUUGGAAGUGAAAUCCAUGGGCUCAACCCAUGAACUGCUUUCAAAACUGGUCGUCUUGAGUAGUGCAGAGGUAGGCGGAAUUCCCGGUGUAGCGGUGGAAUGCGUAGAUAUCGGGAGGAACACCAGUGGCGAAGGCGGCCUACUGGGCACCAACUGACGCUGAGGCUCGAAAGUGUGGGUAGCAAACAGGAUUAGAUACCCUGGUAGUCCACACCGUAAACGAUGAUUACUAGGUGUUGGGAGAUUGACCCUCUCAGUGCCGCAGUUAACACAAUAAGUAAUCCACCUGGGGAGUACGACCGCAAGGUUGAAACUCAAAGGAAUUGACGGGGGCCCGCACAAGCAGUGGAGUAUGUGGUUUAAUUCGACGCAACGCGAAGAACCUUACCAAGUCUUGACAUCCCUUGACGAUGCUGGAAACAGC